GACAGAGUAGGAAAUAAAGCGUUAAGUGUCUGAGGGAUGGGAUGUUGCCCUUGGGACGAAGAAUUAUUUUAUAAUUCGCGGUUUUAUUUUCGCAUUCGCUGCA
Regulatory RNA element from Enterococcus dispar ATCC 51266, 103 nucleotides. It matches the Rfam family "THF (Tetrahydrofolate) riboswitch aptamer". Rfam says of the family: THF riboswitch presents a pseudoknot that joins P1-P2 and the loop of P3 and two THF binding. Lineage: Bacteria; Bacillati; Bacillota; Bacilli; Lactobacillales; Enterococcaceae. The record is from Rfam.